GAUGAAGAACGCAGCGAAAUGCGAUACGUAGUGUGAAUUGCAGAAUUCAGUGAAUCAUCGAAUCUUUGAACGCACAUUGCGCCCGCCAGCACUCUGGCGGGCAUGCCUGUUCGAGCGUCAUUUCAACCAUCAAGCCCCCAGGGGCUUGUGCUGGGGCCCUGCGGCUGCCCGCAGGCCCUGAAAACCAGUGGCGGGCUCGCUAGUCACACCGAGCGCAGUAGCACAUCUCGCUCAGGGCGUGCGGCGGGCUCCUGCCGUGAAACCCCCCACUGUAACCCCAAAGGUUGACCUCGGAUCAGGUAGGAAUACCCGCUGAACUUAAGCAUAUCAAUAACGGAGGA
Molecule: unclassified non-coding RNA, 341 nt
Filed under: soil metagenome
Description: partial contains 5.8S ribosomal RNA, internal transcribed spacer 2, and large subunit ribosomal RNA
Rfam family: 5.8S ribosomal RNA (bases 1-120)
Source: RNAcentral